Molecule: long non-coding RNA, 303 nt
Organism: Lemur catta (Ring-tailed lemur)
Lineage: Eukaryota; Metazoa; Chordata; Mammalia; Primates; Lemuridae
Exons: 3
Source: RefSeq, a predicted model, not a curated record
AUAGGUGACCUGAUUUUUCUUCAAAGACUUUUAGGAUCCCUGGUGUUCUGAAAUUUUAUCGCAUAAUGAUGAUAUCUUAAAAUCACUGGGAUUUCCAUGGAGUCCUGAGAUCAAAGGGAGCUUUGUUUGCUCCAGUGCUUUCAGCAGUGUGCCACGAAGCAGCCAUUCCUACUCCUGGGCCCAGAGAACUGUCAUAUGACCAGGGAAAAACACCUAUUUUCACUAAUUGGAAAUAUUAUAAUUUGAAAUAUUAUAAAACAAAGAUAGCUUAAUUCAUGUUCUAUUGUAAUUAAAAGAAAAAAA